This 110-nucleotide ribosomal RNA is filed under the name Piliocolobus tephrosceles (Ugandan red Colobus). The record is from RNAcentral. Lineage: Eukaryota; Metazoa; Chordata; Mammalia; Primates; Cercopithecidae.
GUCUACGGCCAUACCACCCUGAACGCACUACAAUCGCAUCUGAUCUCGGAAGCUAAGCGGGGUCUGGCCUGGUUAGUACUUGGAUGAGAGAGAAUUGAGUUUCAUCUUCC